Neogale vison (American mink) is the source of this 458-nucleotide long non-coding RNA. RefSeq lists it as uncharacterized. The transcript has 3 exons. Lineage: Eukaryota; Metazoa; Chordata; Mammalia; Carnivora; Mustelidae. The record is from RefSeq and is a predicted model, not a curated record.
ACCAAAGGAAGAAAUACAUAGGGCAGAGCCUGGGAAAGUACCAACUGGGGAGCUUCCAAUCAUCCUCUCUCUGUGGACUCAAGAGACUAUCUUAGACGUUCCUUCUGGAAUCAUUUCCCUUCUUCUGAAUUGUAUUAAUAAGGUUCUCUGUUGCAGCUUUGGCCAUUGUUGGGUUGGCGCCUCCGGGAAUGCAGGAGGAACAAUAAAAAUGGCUGCAGGGCGGUCAUCUUCCAGGUCUCCCUCUUCCUUAACCCAUGACUCUCCCACCCGAAGGACGAAGGAGUCUGCCGAGGACACGUCACCAUAAGUAAACCAACACCUAUGCAGGAAACAGGAACAUCAGGACUGAAUACCUUACCUAAUAUGGCUGUGAACCUAUCUUAACCCAAAUAAAAGACCCACUCGACCCCCUCCCCGGCGUGACUUCCCCGACUCUCCUCUCCCCAGUCGCGGAACCU